Molecule: ribosomal RNA, 253 nt
Filed under: uncultured bacterium
Lineage: Bacteria
Description: partial 16S ribosomal RNA
Rfam family: Bacterial small subunit ribosomal RNA
Source: RNAcentral
UACGUAGGGACCAAGCGUUGUUCGGAUUUACUGGGCGUAAAGGGCGCGUAGGCGGCGCGGUAAGUCACUUGUGAAAUCUCUGAGCUUAACUCAGAACGGCCAAGUGAUAUUGCAGUGCUAGAGUGCAGAAAGGGCAAUCGGAAUUCUUGGUGUAGCGGUGAAAUUCGUAGAUAUCGGGAGGAACACCUAUUGCGAAGGCAGCUCGCUGGGACGUUACUGACGCUGAGACGCGAAAGCGUGGGGAGCAAACAGG